CAGUAACGGCGAGUGAAGCGGCAACAGCUCAAAUUUGAAAUCUGGCUCCUUCGGGGUCCGAAUUGUAAUUUGUAGAGAGUGCUUCGGGCGAGACCUCGGUCUAAGUCCAUUGGAACAUGGUGUCAUAGAGGGUGAGAAUCCCGUAUGCGACCGUGGCUCGAGCCCAUGUGAAGCCUCUUCGACGAGUCGAGUUGUUUGGGAAUGCAGCUCAAAAUGGGUGGUAAAUUUCAUCUAAAGCUAAAUACUGGCUGGAGACCGAUAGCGCACAAGUAGAGUGAUCGAAAGAUGAAAAGCACUUUGGAAAGAGAGUCAAACAGUACGUGAAAUUGUUGAAAGGGAAGCGCUUGCAACCAGACCUGCCCGUAGGCGAUCAGCCGCUGUUCUCAGCGGUGUAUUCGCUCUGCGAUCAGGCCAGCAUCGGUUUCGGCGGUCGGAUAAAGACCUCGGGAAUGUAGCUUCCCUUCGGGGAAGUCUUAUAGCCCUCGGUGUAAUGCGGCCAGCCGGGACCGAGGACCGCGCUUCGGCUAGGAUGCUGGCGUAAUGGUUGUAAGCGACCCGUCUUGAAACACGGACCAAGGAGUCUAACAUCUAUGCGAGUGUUUGGGUGUCAAACCCAUACGCGGAAUGAAAGUGAACGGAGGUGAGAACCCUUAAGGGCGCAUCAUCGACCGAUCCAGAUGUCUUCGGAUGGAUUUGAGUAUGAGCAUAGCUGUUGGGACCCGAAAGAUGGUGAACUAUGCCUGAAUAGGGUGAAGCCAGAGGAAACUCUGGUGGAGGCUCGCAGCGGUUCUGACGUGCAAAUCGAUCGUCAAAUUUGGGUAUAGGGGCGAAAGACUAAUC
RNAcentral lists this ribosomal RNA (840 nucleotides) under Xanthoparmelia cumberlandia. Its description in RNAcentral is "eukaryotic LSU rRNA". It matches the Rfam family "Eukaryotic large subunit ribosomal RNA", at positions 81 to 936 of the family's 3401-position model. Lineage: Eukaryota; Fungi; Ascomycota; Lecanoromycetes; Lecanorales; Parmeliaceae. The record is from RNAcentral.